Molecule: ribosomal RNA, 1188 nt
Filed under: uncultured bacterium
Lineage: Bacteria
Description: bacterial SSU rRNA
Rfam family: Bacterial small subunit ribosomal RNA
Source: RNAcentral
AGAGUUUGAUCCUGGCUCAGGAUGAACGCUAGCGACAGGCCUAACACAUGCAAGUCGAGGGGCAUCGGGGCGAGGAGCAAUCCUUGCCGCCGGCGACCGGCGCACGGGUGAGUAACGCGUAUGCGACCUGCCCGUUGCAGGGGGAUAAUCGGGAGAAAUCCCGUCUAAUACCGCGUAAUGCCGCGGGGCUGCAUGGCCCUGCGGCCAAAGGAAGCGAUUCCGGCAACGGAUGGGCAUGCGUGACAUUAGCUAGUUGGCGGGGCAACGGCCCACCAAGGCGACGAUGUCUAGGGGUUCUGAGAGGAAGGUCCCCCACACUGGUACUGAGACACGGACCAGACUCCUACGGGAGGCAGCAGUGAGGAAUAUUGGUCAAUGGGCGCGAGCCUGAACCAGCCAAGUCGCGUGAGGGAUGACGGCCCUACGGGUUGUAAACCUCUUUUGUCGGGGAGCAAAUUCCGCCACGUGUGGCGGAGUCGAGAGUACCCGAAGAAAAAGCAUCGGCUAACUCCGUGCCAGCAGCCGCGGUAAUACGGAGGAUGCGAGCGUUAUCCGGAUUUAUUGGGUUUAAAGGGUGCGUAGGCGGACUGUCAAGUCAGCGGUAAAAUACGGGGGCUCAACCUCCGCCCGCCGUUGAAACUGACGGUCUUGAGUGGGCGAGAAGUAUGCGGAAUGCGUGGUGUAGCGGUGAAAUGCAUAGAUAUCACGCAGAACUCCGAUUGCGAAGGCAGCAUACCGGCGCCCAACUGACGCUGAAGCACGAAAGCGUGGGUAUCGAACAGGAUUAGAUACCCUGGUAGUCCACGCAGUAAACGAUGAAUACUAGCUGUCCGGGGCGAAUGAGCCCUGGGUGGCACAGCGAAAGCGUUAAGUAUUCCACCUGGGGAGUACGCCGGCAACGGUGAAACUCAAAGGAAUUGACGGGGGCCCGCACAAGCGGAGGAACAUGUGGUUUAAUUCGAUGAUACGCGAGGAACCUUACCCGGGCUCAAACGACACAGGAACGUACCUGAAAGGGUUCGGCUCUACGGAGCCUGUGUCGAGGUGCUGCAUGGUUGUCGUCAGCUCGUGCCGUGAGGUGUCGGCUUAAGUGCCAUAACGAGCGCAACCCCCAUCGACAGUUGCUAACAGGUCAGGCUGAGGACUCUGUCGAGACUGCCGGCGCAAGCUGCGAGGAAGGCGGGGAUG